RNAcentral lists this microRNA precursor (58 nucleotides) under Erinaceus europaeus (western European hedgehog). Its description in RNAcentral is "miRNA (ENSEEUG00000019598.1)". The record is from RNAcentral. Lineage: Eukaryota; Metazoa; Chordata; Mammalia; Eulipotyphla; Erinaceidae.
ACAUGCAUGUGUGCAUGUGCAUGUGUGUGCACGCGCACGCACAUACACACACAUACAC